Molecule: ribosomal RNA, 497 nt
Filed under: uncultured bacterium
Lineage: Bacteria
Description: partial 16S ribosomal RNA
Rfam family: Bacterial small subunit ribosomal RNA
Source: RNAcentral
GAUGAACGCUGGCGGCGUGCCUAAUACAUGCAAGUCGAGCGAACAGACGAGGAGCUUGCUCCUUCGACGUUAGCGGCGGACGGGUGAGUCACACGUAGGUAACCUACCUAUAAGACUGGGAUAACUUCGGGAAACCGGAGCUAAUACCGGAUAAUAUUUCGCACCGCAUGGUUCGUUAGUGAAAGAUGGCUUUGCUAUCACUUAUAGAUGGACCUGCGCCGUAUUAGCUAGUUGGCAAGGUAACGGCUUACCACGGCAACGAUACGUAGCCGACCUGAGAGGGUGAGCGGCCACACUGGAACUGAGACACGGUCCAGAGGCCUACGGGAGGCAGCAGUAGGGAAUCUUCCGCAAUGGGCGAAAGCCUGACGGAGCAACGCCGCGUGAGUGAUGAAGGUCUUCGGAUCGUAAAACUCUGUUAUUAGGGAAGAACAAACGUGUAAGUAACUGUGCACGUCUUGACGGUACCUAAUCAGAAAGCCACGGCUAACUACGUG